RNA transcript from Trichosurus vulpecula (common brushtail), 5258 nucleotides. It is a transcript of the gene named nudix hydrolase 13, with no coding region annotated. The transcript has 9 exons. The record is from RefSeq and is a predicted model, not a curated record. NCBI's taxonomy places the organism in Eukaryota, Metazoa, Chordata, Mammalia, Diprotodontia, Phalangeridae.
GUAGCUGUAAUAGACACACAUGCAGUCAGUUGCAAGGAAAAAUAACUUCCUAGCCUUUCCUCCAGUGCGUGGGCCCCCGGGGGUUUCCAACUGCCUGCGGAUUCCUGAGGCUGGGGUGUCCUACCAGCAGAAUUAAGAGGACAGUGACUACAGCGCCUCAAAGGACUUGGUGAUGUCUCUGUCUCUGUUCUGGCGAGCAGCUUCCUGGAAAGCACCCCAGGCGAGCCGGCAGGUCUCCACCUACGUCACCAAGAUGCGGUACCUGUUUGAACUUAAAGAAGAUGAUGAGGUAUGUCGGAAGGCCCGGAGUUCGGGAGUGUUUUACCUUUUCCAUGGCCUGGCUCCUCUGCUACAGAUGUCUGGGAAAAGUUACCUGGCCCCUCCAUUUAGGGCUUCAGAGUUGGAAAGGAUCUUGAGCAAGUUUGGACAGGACACGCUGGAGAUAGAACACUCAGUCCUGAUUGGCUGCUCAGACCAGCGUGAAGCAUGGUUCGCCCUGGAUCUCGGUCUGGGAAACCCCUCUUCCUCAGGUUCCUUGCAGAAAUCUGAAAUGGAAACUGAGCUCCAGGGUUCCUUUAUCGAGCUAAGAAAGGCUCUAUUCCAGAUGAAGGAGAAAGAUAUUCCCUUGAUCUUCACGGUUGAGGACCAGCCUUCCCACAGACCUUUUCAAAAGGAGAGUCUGAGCCACAUGGAGAUGGCUCCUUCUGUCCCCUGGAGAAGAAAGGCAGGCUGAGCUGGGCUGGACUUUCCAGCAGACAUAUCUGGUUUGGACAACAAAACUGUCUAAACAGACUUGCACCAGAAAAUCAGAAACCUAAUUUUCACCAGAGGACAGAAAGAACCACGAGGCUAGAAUCUGUGAACCUCCCUGAGUAUCUGGUGCAGCGCAGGAGGACCGACCCAGGCGCAGCACACGGAACAGGCUUACACACCUCUCCUGCCUUUGUCAAUUGCAAAUGGCACUCCUGACUGCAGAUUUUUUUUCUCUUUUCACUAGAUCUCGUUUUUUAUUAAUGCUGUUCAGUCUUUUUUUUUUUUUCAGUCGUGUCUGACUCCUCGUGACUCCAUUUUCUUGGCAAAGAUGCUGCAGUGGUUUGCCCACUCCAUUUUACAGAUCAGGAAACUGAGGCAAACAGAGUUAAGUGACUUGCCCAAGGUAACGGAGCUAGGAAGCAUCUGAGGCAAUAUUUAAAACUCAGGAAGCUGAGUCUUCCUGACUCCAGGCCCAGCGCUCUAUCUACUGCGCCACUCAGCAGCCCCUAAAUCCUAUUUAGGAAACUACUUUUAAGUGCAUUUCCCAGGUAACUAAAAGAGGUGACGCUGUAGUCAUUUUUCAAAGCCCUAGAUCUGAUUACAUCCCAGAGUGCCAGAAGCAAGGGUUCACAGAUGGUGUGCAUGGUAGGGCAGCAAGCAUUCAUCUAUCUCAGAAAAGUGCCCAAAUCAGCGGGACAGGCCUGCCCUACUGCACAGAACAGGGCUUGUGCGAAGACAAGGAGGAGCCCAAGGACUUUCUUUCUUUGCUUCUUUCUUUGCUUCUUCGUUUCUUCCUUCCUUUCUUCCUUUCUUCCUUCCUUCCUUCCUUCCUUCCUUCCUUUCUUCCUUUCUUCCUUCCUUCCUUCCUUCCUUCCUUCCUUCCUUCCUUCCUUCCUUCCUUCCUUCCUUCCUUCCUUCCUUCCUUCCUUUCUUCCUUCCUUCCUUCCUUCCUUCCUAUCAUCAAUAACAAGGUAUGUGCAUAUAUACAUGUAUGCAUGUAUAUACACAUGCAUAUAUCUAUGCACAUACACAUACAUGUGUGUUUGGGAGGGAAUCCAUCUGCCACAUUACCCAGCCAAGUCCCUCCAGCAGCUCAAAGAAAAAUGUCAACUCUCUGCGAAUACCCCCACCUCGAAUGAUUCCUGCCCACUUAUCUAUAUAUACAUCUGAAUAUAGAUGUGCAUCACACUGUGCACAUAUAUGUGUGUGUAUGUCCAUAAAUAUGUGUGUGCAUAUAUACUCCUAUAAAGAGAGAGCCAGAAAUUCGCUGGGCAUUUCACACACAUGCACACAUGUAUAAGCAUAAGUGUAUAUACAUCAUAUGUGUACAUAUGCACACCUGUGUAUGUGAAUACGCCUGUAUAUACACACACACACAUACACACAGGUGUGUACACAUAUACAUUUAUGUAUACAUAUCUACAUAUCGAUGAGACAUAGAUAUAGGUAUAGAUAAGAUAUAGGUAUAGAAACAUGUACAUCUACACAUGACCUUUCAGAUAAACAAGCCUUCUGGAUCUCGUAUGUGCUAAGAAAACACCCUAAAACCAAAGAGUACAUUAUUUUUGGAAUGACCACUCCCCAAGGGUUUGGUUCUGGACUCAUGAAGUGGAUGGAUGUUAUUGAGACAGCCAGACGUAGGGGAGGGAGUACUGGAUCAGAAGCCUGGAAGAUUUGAAUCUUACCCCUGACACUGACCAGCUGAGUGAUCUUAGACAAGUCAUUUCAGCUCUAUAAACCACAGGCAGCUCUCUACGUGGUGGCUGCUAAGUAAUAAAUGAGUUGGGGGGGCGGUGUAUGUGAAAGUAGCUCCCACACUAAGGAAGUCAAGGAUCCUCAAUAUAUUAUUCAUCAGAGGGCCUGAGCAUUGCCUUCUACAUUCCCAUGGAAAGUCUGAACACAGAAUAAUAGAGCUCAGGACUGAAAUUAGCAGCUAAAGACUUUUGAAUCAGAACCAGCCUCACCUGGUGACUUCAGAAUAUUUUUUUUUGGAGGGGGGUAGGCAGGGCAAUUGGGACUUGCCCAAGGUCACACAGCUAGUAAGUGUGUCAAGUGUCUGAGGCUGGAUUUGAACAGAAUAUUUUUAGAUGGAAAAAAAUUGACUUUUUAUUCAGGCUGAACUGUCAGAGGAACAUUAUCAGGUCUCUUCUUUCAUGUUUCAGUGGAAAAAAUGCUGAAUUUGAAGUCAGAGGACCUGGAUUCAUAUCCUGACUCUGAUACUUAUCACUUGAGUGGCCGUAGGUGAAUCUCUUACUCUCUCUGAUGCCUAGUUUCCUUACUGAUUAAAAAAAAAAAAGCAACCACAACUCCCCCCUCCCCCCCAAAAAUAAGGUGGUUGGACAAGAUGGCCUUCCAACUCUACCUCUGUGAUCCUCUCAUUUUCUGGAGGUAAAAGUGGGCAAGAAUCAUUUGGCAGGGACUUACAUACUUCUUGGAGUUGCUGGAGAGACAGGGCUAAGUAAUGGAGAUGGAUCCCCUCCCAAGAGAUCAUAUCUGCUUUUGUGUUUGCUCAGGCUCAGGCCCUCCUCCAUUGGCAUGACUGCCAUCAGUUCUGUGGCAAAAGUGGGCAACCAACCCAGAAGAAUGUGGCUGGCAGCAAACGCAUAUGCCCCUCUAGUAAGAUGAUCUAUUACCCUCAGAUGUCCCCAGUGGUGAUCACCCUGGUAUCUGAUGGGACCCGAUGCCUGCUGGCCCGGCAGAGCUCCUUUCCUAAGGGCAUGUACAGUGCCCUGGCGGGAUUCUGUGAUGUGGGGCUGUCCCAAACUAACCUGAGUGCUUCUAGGUGAGACGCUGGAGGAGGCCGUCCGGCGGGAGGUAGCUGAAGAGGUGGGGCUGGAGGUGGAGAGCCUGAGCUAUUCAGCAUCCCAGCACUGGCCCUUCCCUAACAGCUCCCUCAUGAUCGGGUGUCAUGCUACUGUGGGACCAGGGCAGACGGAGAUCCACGUGAACUCACAAGAGCUGGAGGCAGCAGGCUGGUUCAGCCUGGAAGAGGUGGCCACGGCUCUCAGGAGGAAAGGACCACCUGCCCGUGAGCAAGAUGGUGCCACCCCCUUCUGGGUGCCUCCCAAGAUGGCCGUUGCUCAUCAGUUGAUUCGGGAGUGGGUUCAAAAGCAGAGCUCCUCUUCAAAUCUUGCUUAACCCAAAUCAAACUGCCUACGUGUCUCGUCUACAUCCUUGGAGAACUCAUGGAGGAGAAGAGAUUGAUGGAGAUGAUGUGACAGUGGCAAAAAGUGAACUCCAAACUAGCCUCAUCACAUACAGGGCAGCGCAGUGUAGUGGAAAGAGAGCUGGGCUUGGGGUCAGGACAGACCUGCGUAGGAAUCCCACCUCUGACUCUUACUAACCAUCACCAAGUCAUGGGGCCCGAUUUUCCCAUCUGUAGAAUGGGGAUAACAAUACCAGUAGAACCUACUUCAUAGGGUUGUGAGCAUCGGAUAAAGUAACAUAUAUUAAAUAUUUUGAAAACUUUAUGACUGACAUUUACAUAGAACACUUUUAUUAUUAUUAGGCCAGUGAUAUGACAGGAGAUGAGCCUCUCGUGAGACACCUCAAUUAGGAGGAGAAUGAGAGGCCACACAAUUUAGUGAACAAGAUGUUAGAUUUGGAGUCUGGUUCUGAGCGCCCAAAUUUACCAGUUUUGUGACUGUGGGCAAAUUCCGUAGCUCCUCAGAGAAUCUGUCCCCUUGUCUGCAAAGUGGGCAUAUUGAUACCUGUAUUUCCUACCUCAUAGAGCUCUUGUGAGGAAGGAAUUUUGCAAAUCCUUAAAAGUGUUACCAAAACUUGAGCAUUUGUGCCUGCACCUAGAAUGAACAGUGCUUCCUAAAUGGUGAAUGAAUGAUUAAAUAACAGGAGAGAAGCAUUUCCCAGUGCCUACCAAAGAUGAUCCAAGGGUGAAGAGGGAACUGUUUAGAUAUCACCUUAGGACAUGUUAGACUGUGUAUGCCCUUUGACCUAGUGAUAUCACUGCUGGGUUUGUACCCCAGAGAUCAAAGAAAGAGGAAAAGGACCCAUACAUACAGAAAUAUUUACAGCAUUUUUUUUGUGAUGUCAAAGAUUGGAAACUGAGGGGGUGUCCAUCUAUUGGAGAAUGGUUGAACAAAUUAUGGUAUAAGGAGGUGAUGGAAUACUAUUGUGCUGAAAGAAAUGAUAGAAGGGGAUGCUUUCAGAGAAACCCAGGAAGAUUUGCAUGAACUGAUGCUGAGUGAAGAGAGCAGAACCAGAAUGAUUAAUCAUACAAGGACAACAAUAUUGUAAAGACAAAUAACUUUGAAAGAUUUAGGAGAGGGCUGAUGAAACACACUUCCCACCUCCUGAUGGAGAGGUGAAGGAAUUAGAGGGAAGAAUAAGAGACAUUGUUUUCUGGAUGGCCAAUUUAAGAAUCUGUUUUGCUUGACUUGUUUGUUAAAAGGUUUUAUUUUUCUUGCUUUCACAAAUUGGGGUGGGGGAAUAAAGCAGAUCUCUGUGAAAAUAAAAUAACAAUGAAUUUUUAAAAAUAAAUAUCACAU